CGGCACGCUUAACACAUGCAAGUCGAACGGUGUCGGAGGUGCUUGCAUCUCCUGAUCAGUGGCGGACGGGUGAGUAACACGUGAGCAACCUGCCUUUAAGAGGUUUAUAACGUUCGGAAACGAACGCUAAUACCGCAUAAUAUAAAGGAUUCGCAUGUUUCCUUUAUCAAAGAUUUAUCGCUUAAAGAUGGGCUCGCGUCUGAUUAGCUAGUUGGUGAGGUAACGGCUCACCAAGGCGACGAUCAGUAGCCGGACUGAGAGGUUGAACGGCCACAUUGGGACUGAGACACGGCCCAGACUCCUACGGGAGGCAGCAGUGGGGAAUAUUGCACAAUGGGCGCAAGCCUGAUGCAGCGAUGCCGCGUGAGGGAAGAAGGUUUUCGGAUUGUAAACCUCUGUCUUCAGGGACGAUAAUGACGGUACCUGAGGAGGAAGCUCCGGCUAACUACGUGCCAGCAGCCGCGGUAAUACGUAGGGAGCGAGCGUUGUCCGGAAUUACUGGGUGUAAAGGGAGUGUAGGCGGGAUGGUAAGUUAGGUGUGAAAACUAUGGGCUCAACCCAUAGACUGCACUUUAAAAACUGCUGUUCUUGAGUGAAGUAGAGGCAAGCGGGAAUUCCUAGUGUAGCGGUGAAAUGCGUAGAUAUUAGGAGGAACAUCAGUGGCGAAGGCGGCUUGCUGGGGCUUUUACUGACGCUGAGGCUCGAAAGCGUGGGGAGCAAACAGGAUUAGAUACCCUGGUAGUCCACGCCGUAAACGAUGAUUACUAGGUGUGGGGGGGGCUGACCCCCUUCCGUGCCGCAGUUAACACAAUAAGUAAUCCACCUGGGGAGUACGUUCGCAAGAAUGAAACUCAAAGGAAUUGACGGGGGCCCGCACAAGCAGCGGAGCAUGUGGUUUAAUUCGAAGCAACGCGAAGAACCUUACCUAGACUUGACAUCUCCUGAAUUACUCUUAAUCGAGGAAGUCCCUUCGGGGACAGGAAGACAGGUGGUGCAUGGUUGUCGUCAGCUCGUGUCGUGAGAUGUUGGGUUAAGUCCCGCAACGAGCGCAACCCUUAUUGUUAGUUGCUACCAUUAAGUUGAGCACUCUAGCAAGACUGCCGUGGUUAACGCGGAGGAAGGUGGGGAUGACGUCAAAUCAUCAUGCCCCUUAUGUCUAGGGCUACACACGUGCUACAAUGGUGAGUACAAAGAGACGCAAAACCGCGAGGUGGAGCAAAACUCAAAAACUCAUCCCAGUUCGGAUUGUAGGCUGCAACUCGCCUACAUGAAGUUGGAGUUGCUAGUAAUCGCGAAUCAGAAUGUCGCGGUGAAUACGUUCCCGGGCCUUG
RNAcentral lists this ribosomal RNA (1331 nucleotides) under uncultured bacterium. RNAcentral's name for it is "bacterial SSU rRNA". It matches the Rfam family "Bacterial small subunit ribosomal RNA", at positions 40 to 1383 of the family's 1533-position model. The record is from RNAcentral.